Molecule: non-coding RNA, 95 nt
Organism: Melanogaster broomeanus
Lineage: Eukaryota; Fungi; Basidiomycota; Agaricomycetes; Boletales; Melanogastraceae
Source: the annotation of a GenBank genome assembly
GCCCGCCUAGCUCAAUUGGUCAGAGCGUCAGACUUUUACGGCGGGUUUCACACCCAGUGAUCUGAAGGCUGCGAGUUCGACCCUCGCGGUGGGCU